AAGGAAUUUUCGGCAAUGGGGGCAACCCUGACCGAGCAACGCCGCGUGGAGGAUGACGGCCUUCGGGUUGUAAACUCCUUUUGCGGGGGAAGACAGUGACUGUACCCCGCGAAUAAGGCUCGGCUAACUCUGUGCCAGCAGCCGCGGUAAGACAGAGGAGCCAAGCGUUGUCCGGAUUGACUGGGCGUAAAGCGCACGCAGGCGGUCGCGCGCGUGGGGUGUGAAAACUGGCGGCUUAACUGCCAGAGGCCAUCCCAUACGGCGCGACUCGAGCCCUGCAGAGGUCCACGGAAUUGCCGGUGUAGUGGUGAAAUGCGUAGAGAUCGGCAGGAACACCCAGGGGGAAACCAGUGGACUGGGCAGGAGCUGACGCUCAGGUGCGAAAGCGUGGGGAGCGAAC
Molecule: ribosomal RNA, 400 nt
Filed under: uncultured bacterium
Lineage: Bacteria
Description: bacterial SSU rRNA
Rfam family: Bacterial small subunit ribosomal RNA
Source: RNAcentral